UGCGAGUCGAUGUAGCAAUACAUGGCGUACUGCUCAGUAACACGUGGACAACCUACCCUUAGGUCGGGGAUAAACCCGGGAAACUGGGUAUAAUACCCGAUAGAUCUCGACUGCUGGAAUGCAUCGAGAUCCAAAGCUCCGGCGCCUAAGGAUGGGUCUGCGGCCUAUCAGGUAGUAGUGGGUGUAGCGUACCUACUAGCCUACGACGGGUACGGGUUGUGAGAGCAAGAGCCCGGAGAUGGAUUCUGAGACACGAAUCCAGGCCCUACGGGGUGCAGCAGGCGCGAAAACUUUACAAUGCUGGAAACAGCGAUAAGGGGACCUCGAGUGCCAGGUUACAAAUCUGGCUGUCGUGAUGCCUAAAAAGCAUUGCGUAGCAAGGGCCGGGCAAGACCGGUGCCAGCCGCCGCGGUAACACCGGCGGCUCGAGUGGUAACCGUUAUUAUUGGGUCUAAAGGGUCUGUAGCCGGCCGGAUAAGUCUCUUGGGGAAUCCAGCAGCUCAACUGUUGGGCUUUCAGGAGAUACUGUCUGGCUCGAGGCCGGGAGGGGUGAGAGGUACUUCAGGGGUAGGGGUGAAAUCUUGUAAUCCUUGAAGGACCACCAGUGGCGAAGGCGUCUCACCAGAACGGACCUGACGGCAAGGGACGAAAGCUAGGGGCACGAACCGGAUUAGAUACCCGGGUAGUCCCAGCCGUAAACGAUGCUCGCUAGGUGUCAGGCAUGGCGCGACCGUGUCUGGUGCCGUAGGGAAGCCGUGAAGCGAGCCACCUGGGAAGUACGGCCGCAAGGCUGAACUUAG
RNAcentral lists this ribosomal RNA (800 nucleotides) under uncultured archaeon. RNAcentral's name for it is "bacterial SSU rRNA". It matches the Rfam family "Archaeal small subunit ribosomal RNA", at positions 52 to 859 of the family's 1478-position model. The record is from RNAcentral.